Molecule: ribosomal RNA, 451 nt
Filed under: uncultured bacterium
Lineage: Bacteria
Description: bacterial SSU rRNA
Rfam family: Bacterial small subunit ribosomal RNA
Source: RNAcentral
AACGCGAAGAACCUUACCUGGGCUCGAACGGCUUUGGCAAACCCGUGGAAACAUGGGUCCUCCCGCAAGGGACCGGAGUCGAGGUGCUGCAUGGCUGUCGUCAGCUCGUGUCGUGAGAUGUUGGGUUAAGUCCCGCAACGAGCGCAACCCUUGUCCUGUUUUGGCAUGUGCCACGUAAGUGGCGCGCAACUAUCAGGAGACCGCCAACGAUAAGUUGGAGGAAGGUGGGGAUGACGUCAAGUCAUCAUGGCCUUUAUGUCCAGGGCCACACACGUGCUACAAUGGGCGGUACAAAGCGCUGCGAACCCGCGAGGGGAAGCUAAUCGCAAAAAACCGUCCUCAGUUCGGAUCGCAGGCUGCAAUUCGCCUGCGUGAAGCUGGAAUCGCUAGUAAUGGCAUAUCAGAACGAUGCCGUGAAUACGUUCCCGGGCCUUGUACACACCGGUAUCUC